Molecule: long non-coding RNA, 199 nt
Filed under: Capsicum annuum
Lineage: Eukaryota; Viridiplantae; Streptophyta; Magnoliopsida; Solanales; Solanaceae
Description: long non-coding RNA (CANN_LNC007034)
Source: RNAcentral
CAGCCCAAGUGUGAAGCUUUCCUUCUCACAAUAGUACGGUUUUCUCCUAUUUGUCUAGCUCUUUCGAUGGGUCGCUAUAGCAGUUUAGACCUUCCCCCUUUAUUGGCUUACCCCGCCGCUUAAGGUAAGGAAUUGUGGGGGAAUCAAUGGUUACGAUUUUGUAUUACAACCUAGCCCCCUUCGCUUGCUUGAUUGAGGG